GAAAGCUUGUACUAUUUUGGAGAACGGCGAACAGAUAAAACCAAUGGCACUAAAAUAUCAGGGAGUAGAAACGCCUUCUCAGAAUAGAUAUGUUGGAUAUUUUGCACAAGUGAAACAUAGCUACAACUGGAAUCUCCCUCCAAGAAAAACACUGUUUAUAAAAAGAUUCGUUAUUUAUUCGAUUCAUGGUGUUGGAACAGGCGAUGGAUAUGAUCUAAAAGUCCAAAUAGUAAUGAAGAAAAAGAUUGUCUUUUCCUGUACUUCCUUAAACAAUUGUCGGGUAUUUCAUGACACUGAAACAGACAGGGUAAUAAUUGAUGUGUUCAACUGUCCACCUCUGUAUGAUGAUGUGAAAGUGCAAGUUUCCUCUUCGGACAAAAAAUAAUAUCUAAAGAUAUUUUGGCACUAACGGCGCUAUCUGUAGCAAGAAAGUUGAGCAGUGUGAACUGUUGAGACUUCCAAGAAGACUUCAGAGAACCAAGACAGUGUAAAGGAAAACAGGAAAAAAGACUUGUUAGACAUUAUUAAGGGCACGAAAGUUGAAUUGAGCACAGUAAAUGUACAAACUACAAAGCCACCCAACAGAAGUCCACUUAAAAGCUACAACUGGCGGGCCUCAAAGAGCUACAGAGCAUGCUCCAAAGAAGAGAAAUGAGCCCCUGAGUCCUGAGUUGGUGGCAGCUGCAUCUGCUGCUCUGUUUUGACAAGCAAACAAGCCAGAACUGCUCAGGCAGCUCCGUAGCAUGAGGAAGAGUCAGGGGCACAGAGAGAUGGAGAGAGACCCAAUUAGAGAGGGAACCAUGUGCUGGAUUUAGCCAGUCCUGCAUUUUUCUAUACCUUAAAUCAAAAUGGGCCAUGCUUCACAUCUACCCACGAUGAAUAGGGGUACUUUGAUUAAGAAUAAAUAGAGCUGACUGAAUUCUGAACAAGAAAAACAUAUUCAAGGGGAAGAGAUGUAAUAGUUUUGACGUGACGACAGUUACUAAAGAAGCACCUGAACAGACACAUCACCUUCACUUUGGGAUGUGGAAUUUGCUAAGUAAGCCACAGAAAAUGAACAUCCCUUCAGAAUGGGUUUGAAGAGCUGAUCCAGUGGAUUAAAGAGGGGAAACUGGGAGUUCCCAAUUAACAAUGAAGCAGGAGCUGACUAAGGCUUUGAAACAGAAACCAGAUGAUGCACAAUAUUAUUGUCAAAGAGCUUAUUGUCACAUUCUUCUUGGGAAUUACUGUGGAUCUGUAAAUAACUGACGAAAAACCCAUCUGUUUCUACGUAGUUGCUGUUGCCAACACAAAGAAGUCUUGUGAACUCAAUCCAAAUAAUUCCACUGCUAUGCUGAGAAAAGGGGGCUGGCGGCAUGGAGUCUUGCUCUGUCACCCAUCCUUGAGUGCAAUGGCACCAUCUUAGUUCACUGCAGCCUUGAAUUCCAGGGCUCGAGCCAUCCUUCUGCCUCUGCCUCCUGAGUAGGUGGGACUACAGGCAUGUGCCACCAUACUGAGCUAAUUUGUUAAACACUUUUUUUGUAGAGACGAGGUCUUGCUACGUUUCCCAGACUGGUCUCUGAACUCCCGGCCUCAAGUGAUCCUACUGCCUUGGCCUCCCAAAGUACUGGCAUAAUAGACAUGAGCCACUGCACCUGGCUCCUAAGUUCUUUUCUUGAGUAAUAUCUUUCUUUUCUUUUUUUUUUUAUUUUUUGAGGUGGAGUCUCACCCUGUUGCCCAGGCUGGAGUGCAAUGGCAUGAUCUCGGCUCACUGCAACUUCUACCUCCCGGGUUCAAGUGAUUCUCCUGCCUCAGCCUGCUGAAUAGCUAGGAUUACAGGCGUGUACUUCCACGCCUGGCUAAUUUUUUGUAUCUUUAGUAGAGAUGGGGUUUCACCAUGUUGGCCAGGCUUGUCUCAAACUCUUGACCUCGUGAUCCACCCGCCUUGGCCUCCCAAAGUGUUGGGAUUACAGGCGUGAGCCACCACGCCUGGCCAAGUAAUAUCUUAGUAUCAUGCCAUUGACAUUUAUCCUCUAAUUAUUUCAGAGGUGGCCUUCAGAAGGAGGCCUCUUUGGUAAAAUUGCUAUUGAGGAUAUUUCACUGAAAAACAAAUUUAUCUUUAAAUUUAAAUCCAGGAAAAAUUUAAACUUUUAGGCUUCUAUUUUUAUCAGACAGGGUAAAACAUUUAUAACUCAGAAUAUUACCUUUUCCCCUCUUUGUGUGAUGGAUUGCUUGGUUUUAGUUACUGAUUAUUUAAAAUAAUAAGUUAUUCAAAUCUAGGAUUUUGAUACAAUAGUUCUUCUCUAGAAUAUAGUGUGUGUGUGAGAGUAUAUUUAAAAUUUUUAUUAAGGCCCAUGGGGCAGCCUUUGAGGAAACCAGACCUUGGGGAUCGCCAGGCAGGAUUAGUGGCAGGAAUUGAGAGAACAGAGCCCCACAGAGCUCGUCGGGGACUGUCCCCCAGUCACAAGAGUAUCUCAAGGAAGUAGUCUUCUCCCACAUUCCCCAAAGAUAGCUACCAGAGGGUCAGUCCUCUGAACCCUUCUCAGUGUAGAAAAGACAAGUGUCAAAGCUUCCCCACUCACCCUGAGUUUGCCUUCUAUGACAAUACGUCACUUGGCCUCACUGAGGCUGAGCAGAGGAUGCUGGACCUCCCAGGAUAUUUUGGGUCAAAUGAAGAGGAUGAAACCACAAGUACACUUAGCGUGGAGAAGCUGGUGAUCUAGACUGAGAAUCAGCCUGAGCUUUACACAGCUGGGGUCUGCUACUCGCAUUUUGUAGACUUUUGUGUAACUAUUUGUACCGUAGGACAGAAUGUGAGGAGGAAGUAACACACAGAGGAGGAUGUGUGUGUAUGCAUGUGUUUGAAUUCACAAGGAAGAAAUUAUUUAUCUUGAGCUUUUUCCUUUGUUAUUCAGUUUUUAUUGGUUUAUUACUAAUAAUGAUAAUAAAAUGUAAACAAGAGCAAA
Molecule: small RNA, 2945 nt
Filed under: Pan troglodytes (chimpanzee)
Lineage: Eukaryota; Metazoa; Chordata; Mammalia; Primates; Hominidae
Description: processed transcript
Source: RNAcentral